This 484-nucleotide ribosomal RNA is filed under the name uncultured bacterium. RNAcentral describes it as "partial 16S ribosomal RNA". It matches the Rfam family "Bacterial small subunit ribosomal RNA", at positions 29 to 507 of the family's 1533-position model. The record is from RNAcentral.
AUUGAACGCUGGCGGCAUGCUUUACACAUGCAAGUCGAACGGCAGCGCGGGCUUCGGCCUGGCGGCGAGUGGCGAACGGGUGAGUAAUACAUCGGAACGUGCCCAGUAGUGGGGGAUAGCUCGGCGAAAGCCGGAUUAAUACCGCAUACGACCUGAGGGUGAAAGCGGGGGAUCUUCGGACCUCGCGCUAUUGGAGCGGCCGAUGGCGGAUUAGCUAGUUGGUGGGGUAAAGGCCUACCAAGGCGACGAUCUGUAGCUGGUCUGAGAGGACGACCAGCCACACUGGGACUGGGACACGGCCCAGACUCCUGCGGGAGGCAGCAGUGGGGAAUUUUGGACAAUGGGCGAAAGCCUGAUCCAGCAAUGCCGCGUGUGUGAUGAAGGCCUUCGGGUUGUAAAGCACUUUUGGCGGGAACGAAAAGGACUGUGCCAAUACCACGGUUCGAUGACGGUACCCGCAGAAUAAGCACCGGCUAACUACGUG